GACGAACGCUGGCGGCGUGCUUAACACAUGCAAGUCGAACGGAAAGGCCCUGCUUUUGUGGGGUGCUCGAGUGGCGAACGGGUGAGUAACACGUGAGUAACCUGCCCUUGACUUUGGGAUAACUUCAGGAAACUGGGGCUAAUACCGGAUAGGAGCUCCUGCUGCAUGGUGGGGGUUGGAAAGUUUCGGCGGUUGGGGCUGGACUCGCGGCUUAUCAGCUUGUUGGUGGGGUAGUGGCUUACCAAGGCUUUGACGGGUAGCCGGCCUGAGAGGGUGACCGGCCACAUUGGGACUGAGAUACGGCCCAGACUCCUACGGGAGGCAGCAGUGGGGAAUAUUGCACAAUGGGCGGAAGCCUGAUGCAGCAACGCCGCGUGCGGGAUGACGGCCUUCGGGUUGUAAACCGCUUUCGCCUGUGACGAAGCGUGAGUGACGGUAAUGUGUAAAGAAGCACCGGCUAACUACGUG
RNAcentral lists this ribosomal RNA (468 nucleotides) under uncultured bacterium. Its description in RNAcentral is "partial 16S ribosomal RNA". It matches the Rfam family "Bacterial small subunit ribosomal RNA", at positions 28 to 507 of the family's 1533-position model. The record is from RNAcentral.